Molecule: long non-coding RNA, 2634 nt
Filed under: Sus scrofa (pig)
Lineage: Eukaryota; Metazoa; Chordata; Mammalia; Artiodactyla; Suidae
Description: lncRNA (ENSSSCG00055025342.1)
Source: RNAcentral
GGAGUCCGAGGUUGCUAUGGAGUCCCCGAAACUUUUGAAAACUGUCGGGGUUCCAGGCGAAGAGCAAGAGCGAAUGGAGGAUUUCUGGAGACAUGUGCUAAGCUUAAGGUGACAAGGGAAAGAGGACGUGGGGCUUUCAAUGGAGCAGGAUUGCACUUUAGAUCCUGGAUGACAGACCUGUAAGGACUGAGCAGACCUUUCACUGACAAGAUGGGAUUCUCAGUGAGAGCAUGGCAUCCUGAAACUAGGAUUUUGUCUUUAAUUCAGGAGAAGGGUAAUUUUACUGCCUACCUUGGGAAACACGAGAGUUGAACAUGAUAACUAUACAUGAUGGAUGAAACCAGCGUUAGGUGCUAUAAAUUUGGAAGUGGAACUUGAUAUUCUGGAGUGAUGUGUGCUCUUUUUGAAAAGAAAACACGUCUGAGUCAUUUUAGAAAGGAUCAUUUCUGCCACCUCUCCAAAAUCCAGACAUAACUUCAAGAUAUUGUGAGUCCAGCUGCAGAUCACUGCAAUAAAGUGCGUAUCUCAGUGAGGUGAGUCACACAAAGUUUUUGGUUUCUCAGGGCAUAUAAAAGUUAUGUUUACACUAUAUUGUGGUCUAUUAAGUGUGCAAUAUCAUUAUGUCUAAAAAAACCAGUGUCAUACCUUUAUUAAACAAUACUUGAUUGUUAAAAAAUGCUAGCCAUAAUUUUUCCAUGCAGGGUUGCCAUAAAAUUUCAAUUUGUAAAAUCACAAUAUCUGUGAAGCACAAUAAAAUGAAGCAAUCCUGUAUUCCCAAAACAAUGGUUAAGUAAAACUGUAAUUUAAAACACUGGAAAUACCACCAAUGGAAGAAGACAUUUUUCCUGUCUUUUAAGUUAGGAAAGAAUAAUACCUCCUAUAUCAGAAUCUUAGAGAAAUGAUGUUUACUCAGGAGCCAUAAUACUGGUGUCUGGCAACAGAAUCCACAUUGUUUUUUCUCAAAAUUAUUAACUUCUUUUUGGCUAUGUCUGCAGCACACAUAAGUUCCAGGGCAAGGGAUUGAACAUGCACUGCACCAGUGACCCAAGCCACAGCAGGGACAAUGCUAGGUCCUUAACCACUGGGCCCCCAGGGAAUUCCCUCAAAAUUUUUCAUUUCAGUGGCCCAUAGAUGUUUUCCCUCCAUGAGAGAACAUACCAGCAUUUUUUUAAAAUUAUUUUUUAUUUUAUUAUUUUUUGCUUUUUUUAGGGCCACGACUGCAGCAAAUGGAAGUGCCCAGGUUAGGGGUCAAAUCAGAGCUACAGCUGCUGACCUGUGCCACAGCCGCAGCAAUGCCAGAUCCAAGCUGCAUCUGCAACCUACACCACAGCUCAUGGCAACACUGGAUCUUUAACCCACUGAGUGAGGCCAGUGAUCAAACCCGCAUCCUCAUAAAUCCUGAUCAGAUUCAUUUCUGCUGCACCAAAAUGAGAACUCCCCCAGUGUUUAUUUUAGAUUCUCUAUUAAUAAGGAGUAGUACCUUGUACAUAAAAAGUGCUCCUAAGAGUUCCCAAGCUCAGCGGAAACAAAUCUGACUAGUAUCAAUGAGGAUGCAGGUUCGAUCCUUGGCCUUGCUCAGUGGGUUAAGGAUCCAGCAUUGCCUUGAGCUAUGGUGUAGGCCAUAGAUGGGGCUUGGAUCCCGCAUUGCUGUGGCUGUGGUGUAGGCCAGCAGCUGCAGCUCUUGAUUCAACCCCUAGCCUAGGAACCUCUAAAAACACCUGCUUCUUGCUUUUCAUGAUAUUUUCACAUGUGCUCUUUAAUUGCUUAUUACAGUAAUAACCCUGUGCCGAGACCAGCUCAUCAGGUAAGGGCUGAAGAAUGGGUGCUGUGAAACUUAAGAAAAAGUUUACAUAAAACAAGACACACAGACAUUUAUCUUAAUUAGAGGUUGGAACUAGGGGACUCAAGGUUUCAGGGAUCAAGAGCGCUGCCUCAAGAAACCACACUGUUUUUAUUGUGCUCUUUAGGAUUAAGUGAGGAGGGGGUUGCAGGUCCAGGUUUAGUUCUUUUAUUAUUUUAAAAAGUCUUUUUAUUAUUUUAAAAGUCACAUAGCUGGUAUGUGAUUAAGCUUUUAUUCUGACCUUUAGGCAUUUAACAAUCAUUAACAUUGAGGAAGCCUGGCAUCAACUAUCUAUACAUAGCAUCUAGAGAAUCACCAUUAUGCUUCUGAAAAGGGCAUACCUAUCUGAGGCAACCCGGAGUGCCUAGGUUUGCACCUUGUUCUCCUUUCCGAUGCAUAUUCUGUUAACGACCACUCAUAAACCCCCUGGGGCCAUGAGGUUCUUCUUUCUCUUAUUUUAACAGGACAUAUCAUGCUGUGCAAACAGCGUGACAAUCUGCACAGGUCUGGCUUGCCUAGACCAACACAUUAAGUCCUCAUUCAGCUGACCCUAUGAAUAACUUAUGCCUUUAGGUCUUUGUUCUUAAAUUUAAAUCAUUUACCGGCACUGCGACUGUUUUUCAAGCAGGAAUAUGGGGUAAAGUAAAGCAGGACAAGAUGGAGUUUUCAGCAUAGAAAAUAGAAGCAAAGAGGCUAAGAAAAGAUUGUAGAAACAUGUCUCCUGACAACCCUGUGCUGGUAUUAUUAUUUCAGAAGCCCUACAAGUUUGGGAAAGGCAUGCAAAAAAAAAAAAA